UGGAACUGAGACACGGUCCAAACUCCUACGGGAGGCAGCAGUGAGGAAUAUUGGUCAAUGGACGAGAGUCUGAACCAGCCAAGUAGCGUGCAGGAUGACGGCCCUAUGGGUUGUAAACUGCUUUUAUAGGGGGAUAAAGUGUGCCACGUGUGGCAUAUUGCAGGUACCCUAUGAAUAAGGACCGGCUAAUUCCGUGCCAGCAGCCGCGGUAAUACGGAAGGUCCGGGCGUUAUCCGGAUUUAUUGGGUUUAAAGGGAGCGUAGGCCGUUUGGUAAGCGUGUUGUGAAAUGUCGGGGCUCAACCUGGGCAUUGCAGCGCGAACUGCCAGACUUGAGUGCGCAGGAAGUAGGCGGAAUUCGUCGUGUAGCGGUGAAAUGCUUAGAUAUGACGAAGAACUCCGAUUGCGAAGGCAGCCUGCUGUAGCGCAACUGACGCUGAAGCUCGAAAGCGUGGGUAUCGAACAGGAUUAGAUACCCUGGUAGUCCACGCGGUAAACGAUGGAUGCUCGCUGUUUGCGUCUGACGUAAGCGGCCAA
RNAcentral lists this ribosomal RNA (535 nucleotides) under uncultured bacterium. RNAcentral's name for it is "bacterial SSU rRNA". It matches the Rfam family "Bacterial small subunit ribosomal RNA", at positions 314 to 850 of the family's 1533-position model. The record is from RNAcentral.